GAUGAACGCUGGCGGCGUGCUUAACACAUGCAAGUCGAACGAAGCUGUUGUUUAGAGACCUUCGGGUGGAAGAAUGACAGACUGAGUGGCGGACGGGUGAGUAACGCGUGGGUAACCUACCUUGCACAGGGGGACAACAGUUGGAAACGACUGCUAAUACCGCAUAAGACCACAGUACCGCAUGGUACAGGGGUAAAAACUGAGGUGGUGCAAGAUGGACCCGCGUCUGAUUAGCUAGUUGGUGGGGUAAAGGCCUACCAAGGCGACGAUCAGUAGCCGACCUGAGAGGGUGAUCGGCCACAUUGGGACUGAGACACGGCCCAAACUCCUACGGGAGGCAGCAGUGGGGAAUAUUGGACAAUGGGGGGAACCCUGAUCCAGCGACGCCGCGUGAGUGAAGAAGUAUUUCGGUAUGUAAAGCUCUAUCAGCAGGGAAGAAAAUGACGGUACCUGACUAAGAAGCCCCGGCUAACUACGUGC
Molecule: ribosomal RNA, 480 nt
Filed under: uncultured bacterium
Lineage: Bacteria
Description: bacterial SSU rRNA
Rfam family: Bacterial small subunit ribosomal RNA
Source: RNAcentral